AGCAGCCGCGGUAAUUCCAGCUCCAAUAGCGUAUAUUAAAGUUGUUGCAGUUAAAAAGCUCGUAGUUGAAUUUCGGGAUCAAUAUAACGGUCAUGCCGUUGGUAUGCACUGUUAUAAUUGAUUUCUCACCUUCUAAAGAACCGUAAUGCCAUUAAUUUGGUGUCACGGGGAAUUAGGACUGUUACCUUGAAAAAAUUAGAGUGUUUAAAGCAGGCUCACGCUUGAAUACAUUAGCAUGGAAUAAUGAAAUAGGACAUCCGAUUCUAUUUUGUUGGUUUCUAGGAUCGAUGUAAUGAUUAAUAGGGAUAGUUGGGGGCAUUAGUAUUCAAUUGUCAGAGGUGAAAUUCUUGGAUUUAUUGAAGACUAACUACUGCGAAAGCAUUUGCCAAGGAUGUUUUCAUUAAUCAAGAACGAAAGUUAGGGGAUCGAAGACGAUCAGAUACCGUCGUAGUCUUUAACCAUAAACUAUGCCGACUAGGGAUCGGAUGAUGUUAAUUUUUAAUGACUCAUUCGGACG
RNAcentral lists this ribosomal RNA (517 nucleotides) under uncultured Glomus. RNAcentral's name for it is "SSU rRNA". It matches the Rfam family "Eukaryotic small subunit ribosomal RNA", at positions 569 to 1086 of the family's 1831-position model. Lineage: Eukaryota; Fungi; Glomeromycota; Glomeromycetes; Glomerales; Glomeraceae. The record is from RNAcentral.